CCACAAGUUGGGAGGAAGCAGCAAGUCUGGGAGUAGGAGUUCUUCCAGUUCGGUUGUGAAUGGGGGAGCUUUGACAAAGCUUGGCAGGUCCGAGAGCUCGUGCAGUUCUGGUAUCGAAUCAUCUGGAACGGAAGAUUACAGGUCAUUACAUGAAAAAGCUACAGUUACCUCGAAGGCCGAUGUCGAAGAAAAAGAAACGAUGUCCAGGGGCAUGGCGAAGCUCGACGUUGAUAGCUCCAGCACUGCCGACCGAGAGGAUGACUCCUGUGAAGGACCUUCCAG
Molecule: long non-coding RNA, 282 nt
Filed under: Selaginella moellendorffii
Lineage: Eukaryota; Viridiplantae; Streptophyta; Lycopodiopsida; Selaginellales; Selaginellaceae
Description: long non-coding RNA (SMOE_LNC002177)
Source: RNAcentral